Molecule: ribosomal RNA, 301 nt
Filed under: uncultured bacterium
Lineage: Bacteria
Description: partial 16S ribosomal RNA
Rfam family: Bacterial small subunit ribosomal RNA
Source: RNAcentral
CAGCCGCCGCGGGAAUACGUAGGGUGCAAGCGUUAAUCGGAAUUACUGGGCGUAAAGCGUGCGCAGGCGGUUUGUUAAGACAGAUGUGAAAUCCCCGGGCUCAACCUGGGAACUGCAUUUGUGACUGGCAGGCUAGAGUAUGGCAGAGGGGGGUGGAAUUCCGCGUGUAGCAGUGAAAUGCGUAGAUAUGCGGAGGAACAUCAGUGGCGAAGGCGGCCAUCUGGGACAACACUGACGCUGAGGCACGAAAGCGUGGGGAGCAAACAGGAUUAGAUACCCCCGUAGUCCCUGUCUCUUAUAA